Molecule: non-coding RNA, 91 nt
Organism: Cavia porcellus (domestic guinea pig)
Lineage: Eukaryota; Metazoa; Chordata; Mammalia; Rodentia; Caviidae
Source: Rfam
CCCAGGUCUGUGCCCUGCAGGGCCAGGAGCAUCAGGGUCUCCCGCGUGGGGGACGACAUCCCUGUUUAAUAUUUAAACAGCAGUGUUCCCA